AUGGAGUUUGGACUGAGCUGCGUUUUCCUUCUUGCUGUAUUAAAAGGUGUCCAGUGUGAGGUGCAGCUGGUGGAGUCCGGGGGAGGCUUGGUGAAGCCUGGGGUGUCUCUGAGACUCACCUGUGUCGCCUCUGGAUUCACCUUUAGACACUACAGCAUGCACUGGGUCCGCCAGGCUCCAGGGAAGGGGCUGGAGUGGGUCUCAGCCAUUAGCGGGAGUGGUGGUAGCACAUCCUACGCAGACUCCGUGAAGGGCCGAUUCACCAUCUCCAGGGAAAACGCCAAGAACACACUGUAUCUGCAAACUGAAAAUGCGAGAGCUGAGGACACGGCCACGUAUUACUGUGCGAGAGACACAGUGAGGGGACGUCAGUGGGAGCCCAGACAAGAACCUACUGCAGGGACACACGGGACCAGCAGGGGGCGCUCAGGACCCACCAAGUUCAAGGCUGAUUCCCUUGGGCAGGCUAAGAUGGCACCUAUGCACCGCGACAAAGAGGAGUCAGUCUGGCCUUUGUGGCAGAGUGGACUGAGUGGACCUGUGUGGAACCAACUACGAAAAGAGAAAUAUAAGGACACGCUGGACUGGAUUUUUGUUGUUUCCUUUCGUGUCCCCCAGGCCAAGACAAAUGUUAGCAGCAAUUGCGUUGGAUAUUUCUGUAUGGACAAGAUCCACCUUUACCUGAAACAGCUCUCAGGUGAUGCAUAA
This is a non-coding RNA of Cynocephalus volans (Philippine flying lemur), 708 nucleotides long. NCBI's taxonomy places the organism in Eukaryota, Metazoa, Chordata, Mammalia, Dermoptera, Cynocephalidae. The record is from the annotation of a RefSeq genome assembly.